CAGGGAAAAGGGUAUUUCAUCCCAACUUUCGACAGUAUAUUGUCUGCAGCCAAUAUACUUAUCAAAAGAAAAGCAAAAUACCUGAAAAUUCACUGCCUACCACAAGUUGGGAGCGCGACACAUUGAAGUACCAAACCACUUGAUACUUCGUUACAAAACCAAAUGUCCCCAACCAAAACCAUCGAAACGUCGACUUUGCAAGUCGACAUUCGAAAUCAGAUCGACCCUGAAUCAACUCACUG
RNAcentral lists this long non-coding RNA (242 nucleotides) under Ananas comosus (pineapple). Its description in RNAcentral is "long non-coding RNA (ACOM_LNC042060)". Lineage: Eukaryota; Viridiplantae; Streptophyta; Magnoliopsida; Poales; Bromeliaceae. The record is from RNAcentral.